This 454-nucleotide ribosomal RNA is filed under the name Anaplasma bovis. RNAcentral's name for it is "bacterial SSU rRNA". It matches the Rfam family "Bacterial small subunit ribosomal RNA", at positions 1062 to 1515 of the family's 1533-position model. The record is from RNAcentral. Lineage: Bacteria; Pseudomonadati; Pseudomonadota; Alphaproteobacteria; Rickettsiales; Anaplasmataceae.
GUGUCGUGAGAUGUUGGGUUAAGUCCCGCAACGAGCGUAACCCUCACCCUUAGUUGCCAGCGGGUAAUGCCGGGGACUUUAAGGGAACUGCCAGUGGUAAGCUGGAGGAAGGUGGGGAUGAUGUCAAGUCAGCAUGGCCCUUAUGGGGUGGGCUACACACGUGCUACAAUGGUGACUACAAUAGGUUGCAAUGCCGUAAGGCUGAGCUAAUCCGUCAAAAGUCAUCUUAGUUCGGAUUGUCCUCCGCAACUCGAGGGCAUGAAGUAGGAAUCGCUAGUAAUCGUGGAUCAGCAUGCCACGGUGAAUACGUUCUCGGGUCUUGUACGCACUGCCCGUCACGCCAUGGGAAUUGGCUUAACUCGAAGCUGGUGCGCCAACCGAAAGGAGGCAGCCAUUUAAGGUUGGGUCAGUGACUAGGGUGAAGUCGUAACAAGGUAGCUGUAGGUGAACCUGC